RNAcentral lists this ribosomal RNA (253 nucleotides) under uncultured bacterium. RNAcentral's name for it is "partial 16S ribosomal RNA". It matches the Rfam family "Bacterial small subunit ribosomal RNA", at positions 524 to 776 of the family's 1533-position model. The record is from RNAcentral.
UACAGAGGUCUCAAGCGUUGUUCGGAUUCAUUGGGCGUAAAGGGUGCGUAGGCGGCGCGGUAAGUCGGGUGUGAAAUCUCGGGGCUUAACUCCGAAACUGCAUUCGAUACUGCCGUGCUUGAGGACUGGAGAGGAGACUGGAAUUUACGGUGUAGCGGUGAAAUGCGUAGACAUCGUAAGGAAGACCAGUGGCGAAGGCGGGUCUCUGGACAGUUCCUGACGCUGAGGCACGAAGGCCAGGGGAGCAAACGGG